ACCUGGACGACAUACUGAUUAUGUCCGCGUCCCCCGAUCAACUUCUACAACACCUGAGCUGGACGGUGAAUCUUCUGGAGAGCUUAGGUUUUCUCAUAAAUUGGGAAAAGUCCAUGGUGACCCCAUCGCAGAAAAUAGAAUUUCUGGGUUUCGAAGUCGAUUCGGUCGCCCAGUUUCUGUUCCUUCCAGAGACCAAGCUAAAGGCUAUGAAGAAAGAAAUAAGACGUACUCUACGGACCACCAGUCUCU
Molecule: non-coding RNA, 249 nt
Organism: Pelobates cultripes (western spadefoot toad)
Lineage: Eukaryota; Metazoa; Chordata; Amphibia; Anura; Pelobatidae
Source: the annotation of a GenBank genome assembly